UUGAGACGAAAUAUUAAGUACGUGGAGAGAUUUUAUCAUUAUGUGCUUAGUCUAUGUAAAGGAUUAUUCUUAGUAUAGCAUACAGUUAAUAUACAGUUCAAACGAGAAUUUAUUAUACGAGCAACAACGUCAACCACAAACAUCAAUCAAAAGCUUUUGCCAAAACCCACAGUAAACAUAACUUGACGAUUUGUAUUAUACAUCUCAAAGCCAAAAUGUAUCGUUACACGCAACUUGUGGUUUUUGUCUUUAUUUUGACACUGUCCGCAAGUUUAGCAAAUUCGAGUUCCGUGACGACUGAAGGUUAUAAGUGUCCACGACGCCAAUGUUGGACAGAGGUGGAACCUCGAGACGAAUUUUGUUCAGAAAUUUUCAGAUAUGAAUUUACUACUAAAGAACCGACAAAUGUGUUCUGUUACUGUUGUCGACGGCUUUAAUACAAUAGUGUAAUAUGAAUAUCAACUCUAGAAACUCACUCAAGUCAAAUAUUACAGUAUUAUCAUGGAACAUAAUAAAACUGUGAGCUAUCGGAAUCUCUUUGUUCGAUGAAAAAUAAUAUCCUUUACCUUAAGAUAAACUGUAAAUAUUUUUUUAUAAUAACUGUAAAAACUAAAAAAAUAUUCAGCUUACUAUAAAAGAAUUUUUGUUUAAAUAAUUUUAAUAUUAUUACUCCUUAUUUUAAGCAAGUCACCUAAAAUCCAGAACAUAGUUUUAUGUAUUUUUGUUUUUUAUGAUUAAAAAUAUAAUAUACUACAUUGGAGUA
This is a long non-coding RNA of Aphis gossypii (cotton aphid), 763 nucleotides long. RefSeq lists it as uncharacterized. The transcript has 3 exons. The record is from RefSeq and is a predicted model, not a curated record. NCBI's taxonomy places the organism in Eukaryota, Metazoa, Arthropoda, Insecta, Hemiptera, Aphididae.